CAGUGCUAGGCUUAAAGAGUGGUGUCUGCACUACGGUGAGUCCACCGCCCUGUGUGUUUUUUUUUCCGCAAUUUUACACUGUUUCAAGUGGUUCAGGCUGGCUUGCUGGUUUGUUCCAUUGCCUCGACAUGCACCCGGUCUUGUACUGGACUGCAUGUGCAGUCGCCUGGAGGUGCCUUAUCCCGGGGCUGGGACUGAGAAAACCCAAUCCCCGGUUAUUCGGUAUUAUAAUGUGCCGGGAUUGCCCGGGUUACGCACAACUCUGAUCGGUGGAUCACUCGGCUCG
RNAcentral lists this ribosomal RNA (286 nucleotides) under Probolocoryphe uca. RNAcentral describes it as "partial 5.8S ribosomal RNA". Lineage: Eukaryota; Metazoa; Platyhelminthes; Trematoda; Plagiorchiida; Microphallidae. The record is from RNAcentral.